UGGGGAAUAUUGGACAAUGGGGGCAACCCUGAUCCAGCAAUGCCGCGUGUGUGAAGAAGGUCUUCGGAUUGUAAAGCACUUUCGACGGGGACGAUGAUGACGGUACCCGUAGAAGAAGCCCCGGCUAACUUCGUGCCAGCAGCCGCGGUAAUACGAAGGGGGCUAGCGUUGCUCGGAAUGACUGGGCGUAAAGGGCGUGUAGGCGGUUUACACAGUCAGAUGUGAAAUCCCCGGGCUUAACCUGGGAGCUGCAUUUGAUACGUGUAGACUAGAGUGUGAGAGAGGGUCGUGGAAUUCCCAGUGUAGAGGUGAAAUUCGUAGAUAUUGGGAAGAACACCGGUGGCGAAGGCGGCAACCUGGCUCAUGACUGACGCUGAGGCGCGAAAGCGUGGGGAGCAAACAGGAUUAGAUACCCUGGUAGUCCACGCUGUAAACGAUGUGUGCUAGAUGUUGGGUAACUUUGUUAUUCAGUGUCGCAGUUAACGCGUUAAGCACACCGCC
This 501-nucleotide ribosomal RNA is filed under the name uncultured bacterium. RNAcentral's name for it is "partial 16S ribosomal RNA". It matches the Rfam family "Bacterial small subunit ribosomal RNA", at positions 355 to 873 of the family's 1533-position model. The record is from RNAcentral.